Molecule: ribosomal RNA, 463 nt
Filed under: uncultured bacterium
Lineage: Bacteria
Description: bacterial SSU rRNA
Rfam family: Bacterial small subunit ribosomal RNA
Source: RNAcentral
ACGCUGGCGGCGUGCCUAACACAUGCAAGUCGAACGGGGUCCAUGGGAGCUUGCUCCCGGAAGACCUAGUGGCGAACGGGUGAGUAACACGUGAGAAACCUGCCCUGGAGUGGGGAAUAACUCGGGGAAACUCGAGCUAAUACCGCAUACCCUCGGAUGGUCGCAUGGCCGACCGAGGAAAGAUUUAUCGCUUCAGGAGGGUCUCGCGGCCUAUCAGCUAGUUGGUGGGGUAACGGCCUACCAAGGCAACGACGGGUAGCUGGUUUGAGAGAACGAUCAGCCACACUGGGACUGAGACACGGCCCAGACUCCUACGGGAGGCAGCAGUGGGGAAUCUUGCGCAAUGGGCGAAAGCCUGACGCAGCAACGCCGCGUGCGGGAUGACGGCCUUCGUGGUUGUAAACCGCUUUCAGCAGGGACGAAACUGACGGUACCUGCAGAAGAAGCCCCGGCUAACUACGUG